AAUAGAUACCCUGGUAGUCCACGCCGUAAACGAUGAGUGCUAAGUGUUAGGGGGUUUCCGCCCCUUAGUGCUGCAGCUAACGCAUUAAGCACUCCGCCUGGGGAGUACGGUCGCAAGACUGAAACUCAAAGGAAUUGACGGGGGCCCGCACAAGCGGUGGAGCAUGUGGUUUAAUUCGAAGCAACGCGAAGAACCUUACCAGGUCUUGACAUCCCGCUGACCGUUCUAGAGAUAGAUCUUUCCCUUCGGGGACAGCGGUGACAGGUGGUGCAUGGUUGUCGUCAGCUCGUGUCGUGAGAUGUUGGGUUAAGUCCCGCAACGAGCGCAACCCUUGAUCUUAGUUGCCAGCAUUCAGUUGGGCACUCUAAGGUGACUGUCGGUGAUAAACCGGAGGAAGGUGGGGAUGACGUCAAAUCAUCAUGCCCCUUAUGACCUGGGCUACACACGUGCUACAAUGGACGGUACAGAGGGUCGCAACCCCGCGAGGGUGAGCUAAUCCCAUAAAACCGUUCUCAGUUCGGAUUGUAGGCUGC
Molecule: ribosomal RNA, 533 nt
Filed under: uncultured bacterium
Lineage: Bacteria
Description: bacterial SSU rRNA
Rfam family: Bacterial small subunit ribosomal RNA
Source: RNAcentral